RNAcentral lists this ribosomal RNA (409 nucleotides) under uncultured bacterium. RNAcentral describes it as "bacterial SSU rRNA". It matches the Rfam family "Bacterial small subunit ribosomal RNA", at positions 370 to 772 of the family's 1533-position model. The record is from RNAcentral.
AAUGGGCGCAAGCCUGAUCCAGCCAUGCCGCGUGAGUGAAGAAGGCCUUCGGGUUGUAAAGCUCUUUCAGCUGGAAAAAAAUCGCUUCACCUAAUAGGUGGAGUGGAUGAUGGUACCAGCAGAAGAAGCACCGGCUAACUACGUGCCAGCAGCCGCGGUAAUACGUAGGGUGCGAGCGUUAUCGGAAUUACUGGGCGUAAAGCGUGCGCAGGCGGUUUUGUAAGACAGACGUGAAAUCCCCGGGCUUAACCUGGGAACUGCGUUUGUGACUGCAAGGCUAGAGCAUGGCAGAGGGGGGUAGAAUUCCACGUGUAGCAGUGAAAUGCGUAGAUAUGUGGAGGAAUACCGAUGGCGAAGGCAGCCCCCUGGGUCAAUACAGACGCUCAUGCACGAAAGCGUGGGGAGCAAA